UGCCGUAAGAUCCUAACGCGAUCGUUUUAACACAAUCGCAGUCUGGUGAGUCAAAUGAUUCUCAUUUUACAAGAAAAAAACAUGCGGUAUACAAUACAUAUAUACAUAUAUUUACUUACAGAUUUUCCGUUUACAUCUCCUGCUCGCUGGUCUCCCUUAACGCUGGCGGGUCCGUCAACGUCCAUUCCAGGCAGAGGAGAAGGCUUGAUUGCGCCAAAGAACCCAGACAUCGAAAUCUUGCUCCGAGGGGAAAUCAUCGAAAACGACGGUGAAUGUCCGACAGGCACCCGCUUUUGGUAGCACUGGACAAGUGGGAUAUCCUUGCUUGGAUCCUUUUAAAGUUGCCCGAUAAACUACUGAGAGUUGAUCUCUCCUCUUGUCCAAAGGUUUUUUGUUCAUUUUACUUGUAAUACUGCCACUAGGGUUGAUGUAGUAGCUCCACGACAUAACCUUAAAGCCUGUGACUGGAUCCUGUCUAUUUUCCCAAGUCAUGUUUUUGAAGCAGAUUGGUAAAUAAUGCAACCGUAAUCAAUAACAGAUGGAAUUAAAGUGACAAUGCUGGCA
Long non-coding RNA from Nerophis ophidion (straightnose pipefish), 564 nucleotides. RefSeq lists it as uncharacterized. Lineage: Eukaryota; Metazoa; Chordata; Actinopteri; Syngnathiformes; Syngnathidae. The transcript is spliced from 2 exons. The record is from RefSeq and is a predicted model, not a curated record.